GUGCUUGCAACACAUGUACUAAAAUUGGAAUGAUACAGAGAAGAUUAGCAUGGCCCUGUGCAAGGAAGACACGCAAAUUCAUGAAGCAUUCCAUAUUUAA
Small nuclear RNA from Otolemur garnettii (small-eared galago), 100 nucleotides. The record is from Ensembl. NCBI's taxonomy places the organism in Eukaryota, Metazoa, Chordata, Mammalia, Primates, Galagidae.